RNAcentral lists this ribosomal RNA (570 nucleotides) under uncultured Gammaproteobacteria bacterium. RNAcentral's name for it is "bacterial SSU rRNA". It matches the Rfam family "Bacterial small subunit ribosomal RNA", at positions 75 to 639 of the family's 1533-position model. The record is from RNAcentral. Lineage: Bacteria; Pseudomonadati; Pseudomonadota; Gammaproteobacteria.
AGAGCUUGCUCUCGGGUGACGAGUGGCGGACGGGUGAGUAAUGUCUGGGAAACUGCCUGAUGGAGGGGGAUAACUACUGGAAACGGUAGCUAAUACCGCAUAACGUCGCAAGACCAAAGAGGGGGACCUUCGGGCCUCUUGCCAUCAGAUGUGCCCAGAUGGGAUUAGCUAGUAGGUGGGGUAAUGGCUCACCUAGGCGACGAUCCCUAGCUGGUCUGAGAGGAUGACCAGCCACACUGGAACUGAGACACGGUCCAGACUCCUACGGGAGGCAGCAGUGGGGAAUAUUGCACAAUGGGCGCAAGCCUGAUGCAGCCAUGCCGCGUGUAUGAAGAAGGCCUUCGGGUUGUAAAGUACUUUCAGCGGGGAGGAAGGUGUUGUGGUUAAUAACCACAGCAAUUGACGUUACCCGCAGAAGAAGCACCGGCUAACUCCGUGCCAGCAGCCGCGGUAAUACGGAGGGUGCAAGCGUUAAUCGGAAUUACUGGGCGUAAAGCGCACGCAGGCGGUCUGUCAAGUCGGAUGUGAAAUCCCCGGGCUCAACCUGGGAACUGCAUUCGAAACUGGCAG